AAUGAACGCUGGCGGCAUGCCUUACACAUGCAAGUCGAACGGCAGCAUGACCUAGCUUGCUAGGUUGAUGGCGAGUGGCGAACGGGUGAGUAAUGCAUCGGAACGUGCCUUUUAGUGGGGGAUAACGUAGCGAAAGUUACGCUAAUACCGCAUAUUCUCUGAGGAGGAAAGCAGGGGGCCUUCGGGCCUUGCGCUAGAAGAGCGGCCGAUGUCGGAUUAGCUAGUUGGUGAGGUAAAGGCUCACCAAGGCAACGAUCCGUAGCGGGUCUGAGAGGAUGAUCCCCCACACUGGGAGUGAGGAACGGCCCAGACUCCUACGGGGAGCCACAGUGGGGAAUUUUAGGCAAUGGGGGCAAGGCUGAUCCAGCCAUGCCGCGGGAGGGAAGAAGGACUUCGGGUUGGUAAGCUCUUUCGGCCGGGGAGAAAUAGAACUCUCUUAAACAGGGUGUGGAUGACGGUACCAGGAUAAGAAGCACCGGCUAACUACGUG
This 490-nucleotide ribosomal RNA is filed under the name uncultured bacterium. Its description in RNAcentral is "partial 16S ribosomal RNA". It matches the Rfam family "Bacterial small subunit ribosomal RNA", at positions 29 to 507 of the family's 1533-position model. The record is from RNAcentral.